GAAUUUUGGACAAUGGGGGCAACCCUGAUCCAGCGACGCCGCGUGGAGGACGAAGGUCUUCGGAUUGUAAACUCCUUUUGCCGGGGAAUAAGAAAUCUGUAGAAAUACGGAGAGUGAAGGUACCCGGAGAAUAAGCCACGGCUAACUUCGUGCCAGCAGCCGCGGUAAUACGAAGGUGGCGAGCGUUACUCGGAAUUACUAGGCGUAAAGCGCGGGUAGGUGGUUGUGAAAGUCUGCUGUGAAAGCUCCUGGCUUAACUGGGAGAGGUCAGCGGAAACUCCACGACUGGAGUGUAGGAGAGGGUACUGGAAUUCCCGGAGUAGCGGUGAAAUGCGCAGAUAUCGGGAGGAACACCAAAGGCGAAAGCAGGUACCUGGACUAUUACUGACACUGAGCCGCGAAAGCUAGGGGAGCAAACAGG
Molecule: ribosomal RNA, 421 nt
Filed under: uncultured bacterium
Lineage: Bacteria
Description: bacterial SSU rRNA
Rfam family: Bacterial small subunit ribosomal RNA
Source: RNAcentral